GCAGGCUUGAGUCUUGUAGAGGGGGGUAGAAUUCCAGGUGUAGCGGUGAAAUGCGUAGAGAUCUGGAGGAAUACCGGUGGCGAAGGCGGCCCCCUGGACAAAGACUGACGCUCAGGUGCGAAAGCGUGGGGAGCAAACAGGAUUAGAUACCCUGGUAGUCCACGCCGUAAACGAUGUCUACUUGGAGGUUGUGCCCUUGAGGCGUGGCUUCCGGAGCUAACGCGUUAAGUAGACCGCCUGGGGAGUACGGCCGCAAGGUUAAAACUCAAAUGAAUUGACGGGGGCCCGCACAAGCGGUGGAGCAUGUGGUUUAAUUCGAUGCAACGCGAAGAACCUUACCUGGUCUUGACAUCCACAGAACUUUCCAGAGAUGGAUUGGUGCCUUCGGGAACUGUGAGACAGGUGCUGCAUGGCUGUCGUCAGCUCGUGUUGUGAAAUGUUGGGUUAAGUCCCGCAACGAGCGCAAC
Molecule: ribosomal RNA, 467 nt
Filed under: Salmonella enterica
Lineage: Bacteria; Pseudomonadati; Pseudomonadota; Gammaproteobacteria; Enterobacterales; Enterobacteriaceae
Also listed under: 2 other names
Description: bacterial SSU rRNA
Rfam family: Bacterial small subunit ribosomal RNA
Source: RNAcentral